This 476-nucleotide ribosomal RNA is filed under the name Chaetodon ephippium (saddle butterflyfish). RNAcentral's name for it is "partial small subunit ribosomal RNA". It matches the Rfam family "Bacterial small subunit ribosomal RNA", at positions 788 to 1491 of the family's 1533-position model. Lineage: Eukaryota; Metazoa; Chordata; Actinopteri; Chaetodontiformes; Chaetodontidae. The record is from RNAcentral.
CACUAUGCCUAGCCCUAAACAUUGACAGUUAAUUACACCCACUGUCCGCCUGGGGACUACGAGCACCAGCUUAAAACCCAAAGGACUUGGCGGUGCUUUAGACCCACCUAGAGGAGCCUGUUCUAGAACCGAUAAUCCCCGUUAAACCUCACCCUUCCUUGUCAUUUCCGCCUAUAUACCACCGUCGUCAGCUUACCCUGUGAAGGCCCUAUAGUAAGCGCAAUCGGCAAUGCCCAAAACGUCAGGUCGAGGUGUAGCGAAUGGAAGGGGAAGAAAUGGGCUACAUUUACUGGCACAGUAAAUACGGAUGAUUACCCUGCAACGAGUAUCUGAAGGAGGAUUUAGCAGUAAGCAAAAAGCAGAGUGUUUUGCUGAAACUGGCCCUGAAGCGUGCACACACCGCCCGUCACUCUCUCCGAACUAAGAUUUUAAACAUAACUAAUAUGCUACAACUGUAAAGGGGAGGCAAGUCGUAA